AUGGACGUGCGCACCUUAGGCGGCGGCGGCGACCAGCUGUGGCGCAGGUUCCUGGACCCGCUCCAAUGUCGAGCGGUCUCGGCACCGUCUCCGGCGCUCGUAGACAGCAAGAUCUACUUAACAUGUGGCGAGGGGAUAUUGACGAUGGACGUGGCAACCGAGGCGCAUUGCACCUACCCCCUCCCCAUGUACGAGGGGGAGAAGCUCGCCUUCGAGCUGCGCGGCCGGCUGUGCGUCGCGGUGCACGUCAUCGCCCAGCGCAUGCUCUACCUUUUGGGUAUUGCAUCUCGACCAAGACAAGAAGGAUGGCACGGCGCCCUUGCUUGA
This 327-nucleotide ribosomal RNA is filed under the name Triticum aestivum (bread wheat). Its description in RNAcentral is "partial small subunit ribosomal RNA". Lineage: Eukaryota; Viridiplantae; Streptophyta; Magnoliopsida; Poales; Poaceae. The record is from RNAcentral.